CCUACGGGUGGCUGCAGUAGGGAAUAUUGGGCAAUGGGCGCAAGCCUGACGCAGCAACGCCGCGUGGAGGAAGAAGGCUUUCGGGUUGUAAACUUCUUUUGACAGGGAAGAGCAGAAGACGGUACCUGUCGAAUAAACCACGGCUAACUACGUGCCAACCGGCGCGGUAAUACGUAGGUGGCAAGCGUUGUCCGGAUUUACUGGGUGUAAAGGGCGUGUGGCGCGGAGGACAAGUCAGAUGGGAACUCCGCGGGCGCAACCCCCGAACUGCAUUUGAAACUUUUGGUCUUGAGUACCGGAGAGGCAGGCGGAAUGCCUAGUGUAGCGGUGAAAUGCGUAGAUAUUAGGAGGAACACCAGUGGCGAAGGCGGCCUGCUGGACGACAACUGACGGUGAGGCGCGAAAGCGUGGGGAGCAAACAGGAUUAGAUACCCGAGUAGUC
RNAcentral lists this ribosomal RNA (442 nucleotides) under uncultured bacterium. Its description in RNAcentral is "partial 16S ribosomal RNA". It matches the Rfam family "Bacterial small subunit ribosomal RNA", at positions 338 to 795 of the family's 1533-position model. The record is from RNAcentral.